GCCAAUUAAUAUAUACAUAUAUAUAUAUUCUCUGUUCCGCAUAGUAGCUGUUGACAUUAUAGUUGCACAGGAACUUUGCUGACUCUAGAGAAUCUCGGGCAAAUCGCACAUCCCCGUGGUGACAACUUUGCAUGCGGAUGUCAUCCAUAUCAACUUUCAAUGCCAGUUUCUGCGCCUACCAUGGUGACCACGGGUAACGGGGAAUCAGGGUUCCAUUCCGUACAGGGACCCUGAGAAAUGGCUAACACAUACAAGGAAGGCAGCAGGCAUGCAAAUGAACCACUCCCGAUGCGGGAAGGUAGUGAC
RNAcentral lists this ribosomal RNA (306 nucleotides) under Pelobates cultripes (western spadefoot toad). Its description in RNAcentral is "SSU_rRNA_microsporidia". It matches the Rfam family "Eukaryotic small subunit ribosomal RNA", at positions 172 to 471 of the family's 1831-position model. The record is from RNAcentral. Lineage: Eukaryota; Metazoa; Chordata; Amphibia; Anura; Pelobatidae.